RNAcentral lists this non-coding RNA (21 nucleotides) under Caenorhabditis elegans. Lineage: Eukaryota; Metazoa; Nematoda; Chromadorea; Rhabditida; Rhabditidae. The record is from RNAcentral.
UCUUCCGUAUUUGCUACAAAU